UACGUAGGGUGCAAGCGUUGUCCGGAAUUAUUGGGCGUAAAGAGCUCGUAGGCGGUUUGUCGCGUCUGCUGUGAAAACUCGGGGCUUAACUCCGGGCCUGCAGUGGGUACGGGCAGACUAGAGUGCGGUAGGGGAGACUGGAAUUCCUGGUGUAGCGGUGAAAUGCGCAGAUAUCGGGAGGAACACCAGUAGCGAAGGCGGCUCGCUGGGCCAUUCCUGACGCUGAGACGCGAAAGCUAGGGGAGCGAACAGG
RNAcentral lists this ribosomal RNA (253 nucleotides) under uncultured bacterium. Its description in RNAcentral is "partial 16S ribosomal RNA". It matches the Rfam family "Bacterial small subunit ribosomal RNA", at positions 524 to 776 of the family's 1533-position model. The record is from RNAcentral.